UUGUGCCAGCAGCCGCGGUAAUACGUAGGGUGCAAGCGUUAAUCGGAAUUACUGGGCGUAAAGCGUGCGCAGGCGGUUCGCUAAGACAGAUGUGAAAUCCCCGGGCUUAACCUGGGAACUGCAUUUGUGACUGGCGGGCUAGAGUAUGGCAGAGGGGGGUAGAAUUCCACGUGUAGCAGUGAAAUUCGUAGAGAUGUGGAGGAAUACCGAUGGCGAAGGCAGCCCCCUGGGCCAAUACUGACGCUCAAGCACGAAAGCGUGGGGAGCAAACAGGAUUAGAUACCCUGGUAGUCCACGCCCUAAACGAUGUCAACUAGUUGUCGGGUCUUCAUUGACUUGGUAACGUAGCUAACGCGUGAAGUUGACCGCCUGGGGAGUACGGUCGCAAGAUUAAAACUCAAAUAAAUUGACGGGA
This 415-nucleotide ribosomal RNA is filed under the name Paraburkholderia xenovorans. RNAcentral's name for it is "bacterial SSU rRNA". It matches the Rfam family "Bacterial small subunit ribosomal RNA", at positions 503 to 918 of the family's 1533-position model. Lineage: Bacteria; Pseudomonadati; Pseudomonadota; Betaproteobacteria; Burkholderiales; Burkholderiaceae. The record is from RNAcentral.